CCAGCUGCCGGUCCUGGAACACCCAGAACUGGGGCCCUGCAGGGUGGAGGCCGGGAGGUCAGGGGUGGGCUCCCCGCGCCGGCCCCAGCGCGCCCCGCCGCCGGCCCCACUCACCGCUAAAGAGGAGGAUUCGGCCGUCUCGGUGCCGAGCAUAGGCGGCCUGCACCACCCUCACCUGGGCGGGCAGCCCCUCCCAGAAGCGGUGCAGCCGUGCGGGUCGCGGGGACACCAGCUGUCCGGAGGGCUGGAGGCGCCAGAACCAGGGGCCUGCAGGGGACAAAGGGGUUCGCAGGAAGGCAUGAGACAGCAGGAGGUCUCCUCCCCCAGGGUGUGUGGCUGGGUGGGGAGGGGUCCCAUCUGGAAAUCAAGGGCGCAAUGGAUCUAGGGUGACCAGCCCAUCCUGGCCCGCCUGAGACUUUUCCCUUUUUAGCGCUAAAAGUGCCAGGGCCUUGCCUGGUGGCUCAGACCUGUAAUGCCAGCACAUUGGGAGGCUGACACCGGAGAAUCACCUGAGCCAGGAGAUUGAGCCCAGCCUGGGCAAUAUAGUGAGACUCCAUCUCUACAAAAUAAUAAAAUAAAUUACUAGCAAGGCGUGGUGGCAUGUGCCUGUGGUCCCAGCUACCAGGGAGGCUGAGGUGGGAGGAUCGCUUGAGCCCAGUAUUUUGAGGCUGCAGUGAGCCAUGAUCACACCACUGCACUGCGGCCCAGGCAACAAAGCAAGACCCUGUCUCAAAGAAGAAAAAAGUUCCGCUUCCAGGGUAAGCCCACAGCCCCAGUGGGUCACUGGAAGUGGGCAGGAAACCAACAUAUAUGAGGCCAAGUGAAAUGACUCACCUUUGAAGAAGAAAGUUUCCCCUCGGAUGUUGGCGAUGGCGUCAAAAUUGCCCUCACAUCGAUCAGGGAUGGGGAAGGAUGGGCUGGGGAGGAAAGGAGAGAGUUGCUGCAGGCCAUCGCGGUCAUCCUGAGACAGGCGGUACUUGUCAGGGUCGCCCACCGGACCC
Molecule: long non-coding RNA, 1001 nt
Filed under: Homo sapiens (human)
Lineage: Eukaryota; Metazoa; Chordata; Mammalia; Primates; Hominidae
Description: MMP25 antisense RNA 1
Source: RNAcentral